RNAcentral lists this ribosomal RNA (419 nucleotides) under uncultured bacterium. Its description in RNAcentral is "bacterial SSU rRNA". It matches the Rfam family "Bacterial small subunit ribosomal RNA", at positions 358 to 772 of the family's 1533-position model. The record is from RNAcentral.
AGAAUCUUCCGCAAUGGGCGAAAGCCUGACGGAGCGACACCGCGUGCAGGAUGAAGGCCUUAGGGUUGUAAACUGCUGUCACGCUAUAGGAAUGCUGCAGUGUGAAUAGUGCUGUAGUUGACCAAAGCGAGAGGAAGAGCCGGCUAACUCCGUGCCAGCAGCCGCGGUAAGACGGAGGGCUCAAACGUUGUUCGGAAUCACUGGGCAUAAAGCGCACGUAGGCGGCCUGUUAAGUCGGAUGUGAAAGCCCUCGGCCCAACCGGGGAACUGCAUCCGAGACUGGCAGGCUGGAGGAUGGCAGGGGUGAGUGGAACUCCAGGUGGAACGGUGAAAUGUGUAGAUAUCUGGAGGAACACCGGUGGUGAAAGCGGCUCACUGGGCCAUCACUGACGCUGAGGUGCGAAAGCCAGGGUAGCAAA